Molecule: ribosomal RNA, 489 nt
Filed under: Zenodorus omundseni
Lineage: Eukaryota; Metazoa; Arthropoda; Arachnida; Araneae; Salticidae
Description: partial 16S ribosomal RNA
Rfam family: Bacterial large subunit ribosomal RNA (bases 99-394)
Source: RNAcentral
UUUUAAAUAAAGACUAGAACAAAAGAUUUAACAUUUAAAUUUAUUUAUUAAUUUUAAUAAUCAUAAUUUUUUUAUAUGUAAAAAAACAUAUAUUUAUAAAAAAGACGACAAGACCCUAUUGAACUUAACUUUAGUUUUACUGGGGCAGUAAACUAAUUAUUAUUUUAAUAUAAUUAUAUAAUAGUAUAUCUAAUAUUAUUAAUAAAAAUCAGUUACCAUAGGGAUAACAGCGCAAUUAUAUUUUAAAGUUCUUAUUAAAAAUAUAGAUUACGACCUCGAUGUUGAAUUAAUAUCCUAAUUAAAGCAAAUUUUAAAAAAGGAAGUCUGUUCGACUUUUAAAAAAUUACAUGAUUUGAGUUCAGACCGGUAUAAGCCAGGUCGGUUUCUAUCUUUUUCAAAAUUCUUUAUAGUACGAAAGGACCCAAAGAUAUAAUUAAAUUUAUUUAUUAGCAGAUAAAUGCAUUAGAUUUAGAAUCUAAUAAAACUAAA